Molecule: ribosomal RNA, 254 nt
Filed under: uncultured bacterium
Lineage: Bacteria
Description: partial 16S ribosomal RNA
Rfam family: Bacterial small subunit ribosomal RNA
Source: RNAcentral
UACGGAGGGGGCUAGCGUUGUUCGGAAUUACUGGGCGUAAAGCGCGCGUAGGCGGCUUUGUAAGUUAGAGGUGAAAGCCCAGGGCUCAACCCUGGAAUUGCCUUUAAGACUGCAUCGCUUGAACAUCGGAGAGGUAAGUGGAAUUCCGAGUGUAGAGGUGAAAUUCGUAGAUAUUCGGAAGAACACCAGUGGCGAAGGCGGCUCACUGGUCCGGUACUGACGCUGAGGUGCGAAAGCGUGGGGAGCAAAACAGG